RNAcentral lists this ribosomal RNA (1482 nucleotides) under uncultured prokaryote. RNAcentral's name for it is "partial 16S ribosomal RNA". It matches the Rfam family "Bacterial small subunit ribosomal RNA". The record is from RNAcentral.
AGAGUUUGAUCAUGGCUCAGAUUGAACGCUGGCGGUAUGCUUAACACAUGCAAGUCGAACGCGAACGUUUCUUCGGAAACAAGUAGAGUGGCGGACGGGGGAGUAAAGCGUAGGAAUCUGCCUAGUAGUGGGGGGCAACUUAGGGACCGUAUACACUCGACGUAGAAAAGGAGGCCUCUUCUUGAAAGCUUUCGCUAUUGGAUGAGCCUGCGUGAGAUUAGCUAGUUGGUAGGGUAAAGGCCUACCAAGGCGACGAUCUCUAGCUGGUCUGAGAGGACGAUCAGCCACACUGGGACUGAGACACGGCCCAGACUCCUACGGGAGGCAGCAGUGGGGAAUAUUGGACAAUGGGCGCAAGCCUGAUCCAGCAAUACCGCGUGUGUGAAGAAGGCCCUAGGGUUGUAAAGCACUUUCAGCAGUGAAGAAAUGCUUAAGGUCCAUAACCUUGAGUCUUGACGUCAACCGCACAAGCAGCACCGGCUAACUCCGUGCCAGCAGCAGCGGUAAUACGGGGGGUGCAAGCGUUAAUCGGAUUUACUGGGCGUAAAGCGCCCGUAGGCGGUUUAGUCAGUCGGAUGUGAAAGCCCAGGGCUCAACCUUGGAAUUGCAUUCGAUACUGCUUGACUAGAGUAUGGUAGAGGGAAUUGGAAUUUCCGGUGUAGCGGUGAAAUGCGUAGAUAUCGGAAGGAACACCAGUGGCGAAGGCGACUUCCUGGGCCAAUACUGACGCUGAGGUGCGAAAGCGUGGGGAGCAAACAGGAUUAGAUACCCUGGUAGUCCACGCCGUAAACGAUGAGAACUAGAUGUUGGGAGGGGGUUGCCCCUCGGUGUCGCAGCUAACGCGUUAAGUUCUCCGACUGGGGAGUACGCCGGCAACGGUAAAACUCAAAGGAAUUGACGGGGACACGCACAAGCGGUCCAGCAUGUGGUUUAAUUCGAUGCAACGCGAAGAACCUUACCAGCACUUGACAUCCUGGAAACUUACUAGAGAUAGUUUGGUGCGUUCGGGAAUCCAGUGACAGGUGCUGCAUGGCUGUCGCCAGCUCGUGUCGUGAGAUGUUGGGUUAAGUCCCGUAACGAGCGCAACCCUUGCCCUUAGUUGCCAGCACGAAUGGUGGGAACUCUAGGGGGACUGCCGGUGAUAAACCGGAGGAAGGUGAGGAUGACGUGAAGUCAUCAUGGCCCUUAUGGGCUGGGCUACACACGUGCUACCAUGGCCGGUACAGAGGGCCGCAAACCCGCGAGGGGGAGCAAAUCUCACAAAACCGGUCGUAGUCCGGAUCGGAGUCUGCAACUCGACUCCGUGAAGUUGGAAUCGCUAGUAAUCGCGAAUCAGAAUGUCGCGGUGAAUACGUUCCCGGGCCUUGUACACACCGCCCGUCACACCAUGGGAGUGGGUUGCAAAAGAAGUGGGUAGUCUAACCUUCGGGAGGACGCUCACCACUUUGUGAUUCAUGACUGGGGUGAAGUCGGAACAAGGUA